This 535-nucleotide long non-coding RNA is filed under the name Equus caballus (horse). Its description in RNAcentral is "lncRNA (ENSECAG00000045238.1)". Lineage: Eukaryota; Metazoa; Chordata; Mammalia; Perissodactyla; Equidae. The record is from RNAcentral.
CUUGUUUCUCCAAAGCCAUGUAAUCAACUCCUGCGACUUGUCAGCUAAUUUUGUGGUGUGAUGUGCUCACAGAAAGCUUUCUCUUGCUGAGGAAAGGCAAUUUCCUACUUCUUUCCCUGGACCCUUCUCCUCCCUUCUAAACUAUCGCCACUUCAAGUCCAGCCUCUCCACAGAGCAGUAAGACGAGUUCCGUCUGUGGUGACCGCUGUGCAGUGGUGCUUGGAAGUUAAGGACAAAAUUUCAGCCCUCAAAGAACCCCAUGUAAUGGAGGAGACAGAUGAACAAACGAGUGACAGGGAAGUGGGAGAAGCUAGCACAGAAUGCUGGGGGAGGAGAAGGUUGACUCCCAGCUCUGAUCAAGUCUUAAAGCAUGAAGACUUCUACCAGAAACUUGGAGAGGACAUUCCAAGCAGAGGGAACAGCAAGCGCAAAGAAGAGGGUUCAGCGCGGGUGUUGGAGAAGGCAUUCGGGAUACUGCAGGCACUUCUGUGCUUCUGAAACCAAUGGCAGAUCACACUGACUCUGCUGGUGCUGG